AUCCAUUUGACAAGUUCCAAAUAGGACGAAACGCGUGUCUUGAAU
This 45-nucleotide non-coding RNA is filed under the name Schistosoma mattheei. The record is from RNAcentral. Lineage: Eukaryota; Metazoa; Platyhelminthes; Trematoda; Strigeidida; Schistosomatidae.